CCUAUUUCCCAUUGCUUCCCACACAGAAAGCCAAUCACUGAGAUAAUGAGUAAUGCCAGGGAAAAAGGCUUUAUUAUGGGUGACAUCAACUGAAGAGAUGGUAGGAAAACUUCAAACCCUUCUCUCUCCCCUGACUAAAGCUAGGGGUUUAUAUAGCAGAGAAGGAAAACAGGAGGGAGAAGGAAGAGGAGUUGGUCAACAGGCAGCAGGUGGUCAAAUGAGGGGUCUGGCAUCUCUUUGUAGCCAUGUGAAGGAAGAAGGAAUUAGGGAGGGGUGAGAAAGAGGAUGUGGUUGACAUGCAGCAGGUGCAUCUCAAUGUACAAAUAACACCAUGAAGUCAUCUUCUACUUACUCACAAUUGGAUUAUAAACUGUGUGAGGGCAGAGCCUAAGACUAACUCAUGUCUGCAUUCUAAGAUACUGGAGCAGUGUCUGGCUCAUAAAAGACAUCAAUGGGUGUCCUAAAUAGAUGUCAAUUGCUUGAAUUGAAUGACAGGGCAGAUUGGCUAUGGGACAGGUCUCAGAGUGUGUAGGGUUAUUCCUAGAGCAUAUGGGCCUGGAACUUUCUUCAGGAAAGAAGGUCUGGGAAGUAUGUGUGCAGUGACAUUUCUUGUGUUCCUCCCUAACUUGAAAAUCCCCCUCUUCUGACAACAGUGAGGCUCUAGGACCCUGUCCUCACACUUAGUGGACCCAAGCAUGGAGCAUGUGACCCUGGCCAGAGCCAAUCAGAAUAUCCCUGGCCAGUGGUUCAGGAGUGGGCACAUAAGCUAAGUCAGCCCAGCAAGAAUGAAUCUUAGGACUUCUUCAAAAAUUACUGGAAAAGACACUUGCUUUCUCCUGCUGAACUUGAAUAGAAAGCUGGAGUCACUGGAGCUCUCGUGCCACUAUAGGGACCAUGGGAAUGAAGCCAACACAUCAAGGAAAGCCAGAAUGCUGAAAGACACUAGUUAUUGCCGAAAUAGCUUGAAGCAAGAAGCCAGUUUUACCCUUGGACUUUUCCUAUUCCUAGAUAUAAGUCCAACUAGUAGAGCACACUUCACUAGGAAGGUCAGCAAGACAGGAGCCUUUUUUAUUGUUAUUCUUUAGCAUUAAAUAAAGGCUGGAGAUUGGACAUUUCAA
This is a long non-coding RNA of Pan troglodytes (chimpanzee), 1118 nucleotides long. RefSeq lists it as uncharacterized. The transcript has 2 exons. NCBI's taxonomy places the organism in Eukaryota, Metazoa, Chordata, Mammalia, Primates, Hominidae. The record is from RefSeq and is a predicted model, not a curated record.